ACCACUCGGACACUGUCACAGUCGGGAGUGGACACGGCCCCGGACAUCGCUGCGCCAGCCAGGCCCUGGCUCGGCCUCUUCGGCCUCGACCCCACCCCCACCCGGCUCUGACUCUUUGUUCGGAGGACAAAGGGCUCCGGCAGAGCCUCUGGGUCCUGCUGACUCUGCACCCCCUCCCAGAACAGGACAAAGGGGGGACGCGAAGCUUCUGAUGCCUCAGCCAGUUUCUGUGGAGGCUGCAAGGGCAGGGAGGCCGGCUGAAGGACGGAGGCCUGGGGACAGAGCCACGCGGGCAGACCCCGUGUCUGCACCAUGACUGCGGGGGGUCCCCUUCGGGAGGUGUCACAUGAAGCCGUCCUGCAGACCCCUGCCCUCCGGGGAGGCAAGACGCACAAACGAGCGACUGAGUCCAUCACGAGCUUGGGCAGAGCAGGGGCAACGGAGCCCAGGAAAGAGGUGAGGCCGGGUGCUUAGAAGCAGGUCAGGGGUGGCCCUCUGGACAAGACCGUCGCAGGACAGGAGGGAAGCGAGGAGCCUGCCACCCAGGUGUCAGUGUGGGGGCCCGACAACUGACCCACGUCCAUGGGACACACUGAUGCAAAGCCUGGUCUGUCGGGGGUCCUGGGGGCCCAGAAAAGCCCUCGUGGGAAGGCAGGCAGCCUGAAUCUGAGAUUCCCCACCCCCGGCUCUGCCCACCUGCAAUUCCCUCUCCAUCCACCUGGGGGCAGACCUGGCCCAAGAGGAGGUGGGGGGAGGGGAGGGGAGGGGAGGGGAUGGAGGCAGCUGCACACCUGGCAGGUGGCAGGCAGGUGAGCCCCAUAAGGUGGGUAUACCCUUUGCAGACAAUAAAAAGUAGGCCUCCCCCCCAGUUCACCUGGAGCUCAGGGCCCUCCCCAGACACCCCCCGCCCGGGACAUGGUGCCUGCCGGCCCCGUCCCUUUGAGGAUACUGCGGGGAAGGGGGCGGGAAGUGGGCCACAAGCCUGGGGAUGGUCCCUUCCCUCACCCAGGGCUCCUGGGUCCUCGAAGCGCCACCCUGCCCCCCCAACAGCCCACAGUGGCCAAGCAGAGUGCAGGCAGCCUGGGUUUGAACUGACUUUAUUAUUCUGUAAAUGUGAAUUUUACAAAGCGCUUUACAGUGAAGGAUCACAUCCUUUUGUCUGUAACGGAUUUCCACCUCCUGACGGGGCUCACAGCCCUCAGGGUCCUGGUCGCAGGCGGACGUUCUGUCGUCUGAGUUAUGCUACGGCGUGGUGUCAGCGUGGCUACAAAGCGACAGUCUGGAUGCUGCCGAGCAGCAGCGCAGAAAGGAGGCGGCACAGGAGGAACGGUCAGAGGUUUCCUCCUUCUUCAAAAAAAAAAAGAAAAAAAAAAA
Non-coding RNA from Sus scrofa (pig), 1374 nucleotides. The record is from RefSeq and is a predicted model, not a curated record. NCBI's taxonomy places the organism in Eukaryota, Metazoa, Chordata, Mammalia, Artiodactyla, Suidae.